AGAGUUUGAUCCUGGCUCAGGAUAAACGCUGGCGGCGUGCCUAAUGCAUGCAAGUCGAACGGAGUAGUCCUUCGGGGCUACUGAGUGGCGGACGGGUGAGGAACACGUGCGAGACCUGCCCUCGGAUGGGGAAUAAGCCCUCGAAAGGGGGUCUAAUGCCGCAUACGGUCCCAAGCAGCAAGGUUUGGGAGGAAAGCUCGAGAGGGCGUCCGAGGAGGGGCGUGCGGCCGAUUAGCUAGUUGGUGGGGUAAAGGCCUACCAAGGCGACGAUCGGUAGCUGGUCUGAGAGGAUGGUCAGCCACACUGGGACUGAGAUACGGCCCAGACUCCUACGGGAGGCAGCAGCAGGGAAUCUUGCGCAAUGGGCGAAAGCCUGACGCAGCAACGCCGCGUGGGUGAAGAAGGCUCUCGGGUCGUAAA
RNAcentral lists this ribosomal RNA (420 nucleotides) under uncultured bacterium. RNAcentral's name for it is "bacterial SSU rRNA". It matches the Rfam family "Bacterial small subunit ribosomal RNA", at positions 8 to 429 of the family's 1533-position model. The record is from RNAcentral.